AGCGAACGCUGGCGGCAGGCUUAACACAUGCAAGUCGAGCGGGCGUAGCAAUACGUCAGCGGCAGACGGGUGAGUAACGCGUGGGAACAUACCUUUUGGUUCGGAACAACACAGGGAAACUUGUGCUAAUACCGGAUAAGCCCUUACGGGGAAAGAUUUAUCGCCGAAAGAUUGGCCCGCGUCUGAUUAGCUAGUUGGUGAGGUAACGGCUCACCAAGGCGACGAUCAGUAGCUGGUCUGAGAGGAUGAUCAGCCACAUUGGGACUGA
Molecule: ribosomal RNA, 268 nt
Filed under: uncultured bacterium
Lineage: Bacteria
Description: partial 16S ribosomal RNA
Rfam family: Bacterial small subunit ribosomal RNA
Source: RNAcentral